RNAcentral lists this microRNA precursor (85 nucleotides) under Bombyx mori (domestic silkworm). RNAcentral's name for it is "mir-2807 microRNA precursor family". It matches the Rfam family "mir-2807 microRNA precursor family". Lineage: Eukaryota; Metazoa; Arthropoda; Insecta; Lepidoptera; Bombycidae. The record is from Rfam by way of RNAcentral.
UGAACACGAUAUUUGUAUGGAAUGGGAUCGUUUGCGUACGUUUGCCGCUAGGGGCGCUGUUCCAACUGCAUACAAAAUUGGCUUA